AUCAUAUGGUACAGCUUUGGUUGUAGCAUCAGCUAAGCCAGAACCCUUGAAAAUAAUGAUAUCAGGAGCUCCUGCUUCUGGUAAGGGUACUCAAUGUGAGCUCAUCACUAAGAAAUAUGGUUUGGUGCAUGUUGCUGCUGGAGACCUUUUGAGAGCAGAAAUUGCUUCAGGGAGUGAAAACGGGAAGCGAGCAAAGGAAUACAUGGAGAA
Molecule: unclassified non-coding RNA, 210 nt
Filed under: Hevea brasiliensis (rubber tree)
Lineage: Eukaryota; Viridiplantae; Streptophyta; Magnoliopsida; Malpighiales; Euphorbiaceae
Source: RNAcentral